GAUUUCUGGUUCGGCGCACUUGGCCCGUCUCGGUUUACGAGAUUGUGUGCCGGUGUGCGCCAUCCAUCCUUCGAUGAAUUUCUGGACUUCCCUUCAUUGGGCGGUUCAGAGGGAUUCUCGAUCUUUUACUUUGAAAAAAUUAGAGUGUUUAAAGCAGGCUUGCGCUAUGAAUACAUUAGCAUGGAAUAAUAAUUUAGGACUUUGGUCUUAUUUUGUUGGUUUCUAGGACUAAAGUAAUGAUUGAUAGGGACAGUUGGGGGUGCUAGUAUUCAGCGGCCAGAGGUGAAAUUCUUGGAUUCGCUGAAGACUAACUUAUGCGAAAGCAUU
RNAcentral lists this ribosomal RNA (327 nucleotides) under uncultured Cercomonas. Its description in RNAcentral is "SSU rRNA". The stretch from base 67 to 327 matches the Rfam family "Eukaryotic small subunit ribosomal RNA", at positions 693 to 955 of the family's 1831-position model. Lineage: Eukaryota; Cercozoa; Cercomonadida; Cercomonadidae. The record is from RNAcentral.